This 27-nucleotide non-coding RNA is filed under the name Cricetulus griseus (Chinese hamster). The record is from RNAcentral. Lineage: Eukaryota; Metazoa; Chordata; Mammalia; Rodentia; Cricetidae.
CGCUGUUGGCCCUGAAGGAAGUGGAGG